RNAcentral lists this ribosomal RNA (412 nucleotides) under uncultured bacterium. Its description in RNAcentral is "bacterial SSU rRNA". It matches the Rfam family "Bacterial small subunit ribosomal RNA", at positions 8 to 422 of the family's 1533-position model. The record is from RNAcentral.
AGAGUUUGAUCCUGGCUCAGAUUGAACGCUGGCGGCAUGCCUUACACAUGCAAGUCGAACGGCAGCACGGGAGCAAUCCUGGUGGCGAGUGGCGAACGGGUGAGUAAUAUAUCGGAACGUGCCCAGUCGUGGGGGAUAACGUAGCGAAAGCUACGCUAAUACCGCAUACGAUCUAUGGAUGAAAGCGGGGGAUCGCAAGACCUCGCGCGAUUGGAGCGGCCGAUAUCAGAUUAGCUAGUUGGUGGGGUAAAGGCCCACCAAGGCGACGAUCUGUAGCUGGUCUGAGAGGACGACCAGCCACACUGGAACUGAGACACGGUCCAGACUCCUACGGGAGGCAGCAGUGGGGAAUUUUGGACAAUGGGCGCAAGCCUGAUCCAGCAAUGCCGCGUGCAGGACGAAGGCCUUCCGG